GCCGGGCGCGGUGGCGCGCGCCUGUAGUCCCAGCUACUCGGGAGGCUGAGGCUGGAGGAUCGCUUGAGUCCAGGAGUUCUGGGCUGUAGUGCGCUAUGCCGAUCGGGUGUCCGCACUAAGUUCGGCAUCAAUAUGGUGACCUCCCGGGAGCGGGGGACCACCAGGUUGCCUAAGGAGGGGUGAACCGGCCCAGGUCGGAAACGGAGCAGGUCAAAACUCCCGUGCUGAUCAGUAGUGGGAUCGCGCCUGUGAAUAGCCACUGCACUCCAGCCUGGGCAACAUAGCGAGACCCUGUCUCUU
RNAcentral lists this signal recognition particle RNA (300 nucleotides) under Loxodonta africana (African savanna elephant). RNAcentral describes it as "Metazoan signal recognition particle RNA". It matches the Rfam family "Metazoan signal recognition particle RNA". From Rfam's summary of the family: The signal recognition particle (SRP) is a universally conserved ribonucleoprotein. Lineage: Eukaryota; Metazoa; Chordata; Mammalia; Proboscidea; Elephantidae. The record is from Rfam by way of RNAcentral.